GACGAACGCUGGCGGCGUGCUUAACACAUGCAAGUCGAACGGAAAGGCCCCUUUGGGGGUACUCGAGUGGCGAACGGGUGAGUAACACGUGAGUAACCUGCCCUUGACUUCGGGAUAACUUCAGGAAACUGGGGCUAAUACCGGAUAGGAAUCCUUGCUGCAUGGUGGGGGUUGGAAAGCUUCGGCGGUUUUGGAUGGACUCGCGGCUUAUCAGCUUGUUGGUGGGGUAGUGGCUUACCAAGGCUUUGACGGGUAGCCGGCCUGAGAGGGCGACCGGCCACAUUGGGCCUGAGAUACGGCCCAGACUCCUAGGGGGGGAAGCGGGGGGGAAUAUUGAACAAUGGGCGGAAGCCGGAUGCAGAAAGGCGGCGUGGGGAUGACGGCCUUCGGGUUGUAAACCGCUUUCAGCAGGGGCGAAGCUUGUGGUGACGGUACCUGCAGAAGAAGCACCGGCCAACUACGUG
Molecule: ribosomal RNA, 464 nt
Filed under: uncultured bacterium
Lineage: Bacteria
Description: partial 16S ribosomal RNA
Rfam family: Bacterial small subunit ribosomal RNA
Source: RNAcentral